Molecule: ribosomal RNA, 230 nt
Filed under: uncultured bacterium
Lineage: Bacteria
Description: partial 16S ribosomal RNA
Rfam family: Bacterial small subunit ribosomal RNA
Source: RNAcentral
UUUUCUUACGGGGGGCAGCAGUGGGGAAUAUUGCGCAAUGGGGGCAACCCUGACGCAGCAACGCCGCGUGAUUGAAGAAGGCCUUCGGGUUGUAAAGAUCUUUAAUCGGGGACGAAUUUUGACGGUACCCGAAGAAUAAGCUCCGGCUAACUACGUGCCAGCAGCCGCGGUAAUACGUAGGGAGCAAGCGUUAUCCGGAUUUACUGGGUGUAAAGGGCGUGCAGGCGGGC